RNAcentral lists this ribosomal RNA (390 nucleotides) under Choanoflagellata sp. RNAcentral's name for it is "SSU rRNA". It matches the Rfam family "Eukaryotic small subunit ribosomal RNA", at positions 829 to 1220 of the family's 1831-position model. The record is from RNAcentral. Lineage: Eukaryota; Choanoflagellata.
CUUUGGUUCUAUUUCGUUGGUUCUAGGACCGAAGUAAUGAUUAAUAGGGACAGUUGGGGGCAUUAGUAUUUAAUUGUCAGAGGUGAAAUUCUUAGAUUUAUGAAAGACUAACUACUGCGAAAGCAUUUGCCAAGGAUGUUUUCAUUAAUCAAGAACGAAAGUUAGGGGAUCGAAGACGAUCAGAUACCGUCGUAGUCUUAACCAUAAACUAUGCCGACUAGGGAUCAGCGGGUGUUUUUUACGACCCCGUUGGCACCUUGUGGGAAACCAAAGUUUUUGGGUUCUGGGGGGAGUAUGGUCGCAAGGCUGAAACUUAAAGGAAUUGACGGAAGGGCACCACCAGGAGUGGAGCCUGCGGCUUAAUUUGACUCAACACGGGGAAACUCACCA